GAACCUGAACUAACACUGUGCAGAGUACCAAUGACAAAUAGACAUAUGCUUCUCAAACUUUAAGAUGCAGACAUGAAACCUGUGAGUUUGUUAAAAUGAAGAUUUUGGCUCAGUGGGUCUGGGAUAGAGCUGAGGGUCUGCAUUUUAUUUUAUUUACUUAUUUAUUUCCUCCAAGGGUCUGCAUUUUAACAAGCUCCCAGUGAUGCUGAUACUGCUGGUCUGAGGACAACACUUUGAAUAGUGAGGACUUAUAACAUAGUUUUGUCAAUGCUGCUCACAGAGGGCAUGCCAGCAAAAGGCUUAUAUUGUACAGCCUCACCUGGAGGUACAACUGAGUCAGAAUGACAGAUGCUGUCUUGUCUCAAAGGAGAAUUUGGCAUCUUCAAGGUCCUCUACUGUCCCUCGUUCCUCUCUUUGGAUAAUUCUCCACUACACCUCAGUAACUGUUUAGAAGAGACACCUGAAUAAAUGGACCUGGGAGGCCAGGUGGAGCUGAGGCCAACAUUUUCAGCGUGGGCCUCAAACAGGCCCACUGUGUCAGUGGCCUCCCUUAUAAAUUGGCUCCUGUACAGAUCACAGCAGUUUGGAUGGGUGCCCCAGGCCAAAGCCCUUGGCAUAUGAACCUCUGCCUCACUCUCCUAAGGGGAGCUACAGCCCUCUUAAGAACUAGCAGGAGUCCCUGUCAUGGCUCAACAGAAACAUAUCUUACUAGCAUCCAUGAGGACAUAGGUUUGAUCCCUCUCCCUGCUCAGUGAGUUAAGGAUCCAGCGUUGCUGUGAGCUGUGGUCUAAGUCGCAGACACGGCUUGUAUCUGGGGUUGCUGUGGCUGUCAUGUAGGCCAGAAGCUACAGCUCCGAGGCGACCCCCAGCCUGGGAGCCUCCAUAUGCCACAGGUGCGGCCCUAAAAAGAAAGAAAGAAAAAAAAGUCUCACAACUUAAUUGUGGGCAGUGAGAGCCCUCACCUUCCCCUAUCUCUUCCACUUUCCCCCAGUCCUCUCCCCACCCAUUUGCUGACCUUUUGUGCAGGUCACAGAAGAAACAGGUGAAGUACAUCUCUCGUCUAGCAUAAUGCCUUUCUAGAAAUGGGAUAUUUAAAUCUUCUGUUUACACAGAAAAUGCGUUCUCACAAACUGCUUUGGGGGAGGCCCAAUUUGGAAAUCGUUCCCAUUUGCAAACCUCUGUGGUGAGUUCUUAGUAACCUGGGAGAGAAAGAAAGCAAGUUACGUGUCCCCUCAGCUCCUGCUCUGCUGUGCACAGCAGUGUGGCCACAGCCAAGUCACUUAGCUUCUUUGAGGCUGAUUUUCUCGUCUACCACAGAGAACACUGAACCUACAGCUCCGAUUCGACCCCCACCCUUCUCAGGGUGGGUAUGCGGAAGGGACAACCAAAAGCCCUGGCACAGAGUGGGCAUAUUAUUUAGCUCCUGUGGCCAUGCUUUUUAUCUUGACUACCUUUUCAAUGGCUAGACUCUAAGAAGCAGCCCAGGGCCCUGUUACAAGAGCAUGUGAAUCUGUGAUGGGCUGGGUGGACAUAAACUGUGAGGACAAGUAGAUCAAGACCUCUCUCCCCCACUGAUCGCCAGGAACAAUGGGGCUCCUCUGGCUGGCUCCCUCUCAGGUCUCCAAGAGACAAUUCCUCCUUGGAAGAGAAGCAACAAAAUAAACCGAGGCCUCAUCCAGGCUGUCCCCUACUGAACUUGCUGCAUCCUCUCCCCUGAAUGUCAUCUGUUGUCCUUAACUUAAUGGCCUGGCUUUUGGAAUCCGGGGUUGCCGCUAUCCACUCCCUGUAGGCAUCAUCUGACUACCUCCAUCCAUCUGGGCCUGAGUACCCCCAACAACCAGACACACAUAAAUACCACAUACACAGCCUCACACACACAGGAACACAUACAGAACUGCCUUCCAACAAUGCAGCUGACCUCCCUUUUAUUCUUACCAGUUAACUGGAAAUUUGAAUCUAAUGUUUCAAAAAGCUCAUAAAAAUAACACUAAAUGUAGUUUUCUCCUGGUUUCAAAUCCUAGUUUCCAAAUUUUUAACAUCAGAACUUAAAAGAAAAAUAACCAAUGUCAUCAUCAACCAUAAAACAAAUGUGUUUACUUAAAAAGACUACCAGCUCCAAGCUAAAAAGGGAGCCUAGUGCCUCCAGAAUAAUGCUGCAUUACAGAGUGGUCCCUUUCUGCAUUUCCAGUGCUAUCCUUCCUGCCUCUUCACCUUCUCUCUCCCUUCUCUUAGGCUCUGUCAUUGGGCAGAGGAAGCACAAUUAUCGGUCCACCGAUAAUUUGUUCCAAGUUCUUCCACCAUAUCCACCAAAGAAAGGCAGAAGACAAUGCAGCGUUUAUUUCAUUCAUGUUCCAAGAGUCUGAGAUCCAGAUCUGCUAUGUACUGGCUGAGAGAUUUGGAAAACUCAUUUAUUCUUUCUGAGCCUCAGUUUACCCAUAUAGCAAAGAAGGACAGUAAUACGUAUUGACAAAGAUUUUGUGAAGGAAAAAAUAAAAAAUAUUUCUAAAAGUACUUGAGGGAGUUCCUGUCGUGGCUCAGUGGUUAAUGAAUCCGACUAGGAACCAUGAGGUUGCGGGUUCGAUCCCUGGCCUUGCUCAGUGGGUUAAGGACCCAGCGUUGCCAUGAGCUGUGGUGUAGGUUGCAUUCGAGGCUCGGAUCCCCUGUUGCUGUGGCUCUGGCAUAGGCUGGCAGCUACAGCUCUGAUUAGAUCCCUAACCUGGGAACCUCCAUAUGCCGCGGGUAUGGCCCUAGAAAAGACAAAAAGACAAAAAUAAAUAAAUAAAUAAAAUAAAAGUACUUGAGGCUCUUGAAUAUCGCCUGACACAGAUGAUAUAUUACUUACAAAAAUCUUUUGUCAUCUCUAAGCCACUAUACAAUUUUAAAAAUUAAUUUUAUACAUAUUAGUUACAUAUAAAAUUAGUUAUACUCUAUAUAUCAGUAAUAAUUAUUAUGACUGAUUUUUUAUUCAGAUUCUCACAAACUUAAUGAAUCAAAUUAUACAGAAUUAAUGAGCAGAUUUUAACUAUUAACCACGAUUGUAAGUGUCUUAUUUUGUUUGUUAUGACUGAUUUUUUAACACACUCUGAUUUCUCUAAGGUUCUAAAUCUACAGUCUCAUAAUUGUUCAUACUUUGUAAGGCACAAAGUAACAGCAUUUUAUUUCGAUAAAAUUUUGCUUUUCAUAACUGAAAAUUAAAUGGCCAGAAAUGAGAGAUUCUGGGACACACUAGGGACACACUUGGAACUGCAACACACUCAAUUCUUCUUUUUUUUUCUUUUUUUUUUUUUUUUUUGUCUUUUUAGAGCUGCACCAGUGGCAUAUGGAGGUUCCCAGGCUAGGGGUCGAAUUGGAGCUGUGGCCACUGGUCUACGCCACAGCCACAGCUACACGAGAUCUGAGCCGCAUCUGUGACAUACACCACAGCUCAUGGUGAUGCCGGAUCCUUAACCUACUGAGGGAGGCCAGGGAUUGAACCUGUGUCCUCAUAGAUCCUAGUCAGAUUCGUUUCCGCUCAAUUCUUAACUAUAAUAAGAAUGCCUUAAUUCUUAAAUAUAAUAAAACCCUUCUUUUACAACAAAAGCGGGGGGGGAGUUCCCUUCGUGGCUCAGCAGUUAACAAACCUGACUAGGAUCCACGAGGACGAAGGUUCUAUCCCUGGCCUCACUCUGUAGGUUAAGGAUCAGGCGUUGCUGUGAGCUAUGGCAGAGGCUGGCAGCUGUAGCUCCAACUGGACCCCUAGCCUGGAACUUCCCCUAGCCUGGUGCAGCCAUAAAAAAAAAAGAAGCCAAAAAUAAAUAAAUAAAUAAAACCCUGAAAAACUUAAACUAAUGUAACUAGAAAAACUGUAUGACUAAAAAUGAUUCCUGCUUCUGAAAGCUCUGCUAAUCAUGGAAACUAGCAGAUUAUAUUAAAUAAGAGGUAAUCUGAAUAGUUAAUUGAUCAGCUCACCUGUUGUACUGGUUUUGUUAAUCACACUAUUACUUAAAUUUCAUUAUAAAUUUUUCUCCCAAGUUUGAGUGUGAGUACAAAUAUCUAUUUUCUUCUGUGUGUUUUUUCCUCCUGAGCAUCCCAUGGAAGUGAAAUAAAUCAAAGUGAUGUAAAGUUCACCCUUUCUGCCACCUCUGGUCUUAUGUUAUAAUCUGAUGGACAAGUCAUACAUUUUUUUCUUAGUUCUAAAAAUAUUAAACCCCAAUAGCCAAGCGCCAAUUACAAAUAUUUAAUUAGAGUUCUAGGAGAAAACAUCUUAACUUUGAACUGGUGAUUUGGUUUUAAAAUUAGCUGGAAGGAGAAAACAUGCUCAGCAGCUCCACCUUGCUGACCCCAGCCCCACCCUCUUUUGUUGGGGUCCCCAUGGUUUUCUUAGGAGUAAAACACCCCUGGUUCCUGGCCUGCUAAGAGAUGAGACUUGCUGCUGCUGUGAUCUUUUCCUGGGACACCUAUCUGGAAGGCCAGGGGGUACGUCUUUUAAUCAGUAAGCUGACAUUUACAUGAAGUCAGAGUGUCUUGGUUGUAACUAAAAGCUGGUCUUCACUAUAUUUAGGGAUGGUUGGUUGGCCUUAUUCCAUCUUUCUAUGCCAAGUGCAGAGCUGCAACUCAAUUAACAUUUUAAUUUCAAUUGAAUUAGUGAUCUUGUUCUUGACCUUGUACUCAGAGACCUGAAUAAUGGGAGGUUAAUUUAGCUGAGAAUAUAGCCUUUUGCCAUAUUUAUAACUAAUAUUUGAGGAGACUUGGGGCAGGGGGAGAAACAUGAAAAGCCAAGAGAAUAUUGGAUCCACAUCUGGGUACCUAGUGAAAGCUACAAUUAAAAAUAAUUUGGGGAAAUGGGCUGGCUCUUAUAAAAUAUAAUGUGAUGUUUCCCAGCUGGAAAAAACAGCUGCUGGGAAAGUGAGUUGGAGGUCAAGGUUUCAGGGAUACUUCAAUCUCACUGACAUGCACUUAAUUUCAUGAGAGUCAAAGCAUGGAUGCCUCUUCCUUUCACCAAUCUUUUUUACCAUUCCAAUGAUCCCCAAGACUACAUGUCAUACUACAUAAAAGCUAUCUGCUCAAUUUAAACAUUAUUUUACACUAUGUCAUGCUCUUCCCCCGCCAGCUUUAUUGAGAUAUAAUUGAUAUGUAUCAUCAUGUAAGUUUAAGGCAUACAAUGUGAUGAUCUGCAAUAUACAUGUAGUGACAUGAUUAGCACAAGGUUCAUUAACGCAUCUAUCACCUCACAAAAUCACCAUUUUUUGUAGUGAGAACUUUUAAGAUCUACUCUUCUUACUAAUUUCAAAUAUACAAUAUAGUAUUAUUAACUAUAGUCAUCAUGCUAUACUUUAGAUCUCCAGAAUGUAUUCAUUCUUCUGAGAGUUUGUACUAAGUGAUCUUUUUUUGUGUGACUUUUAUAAGUAUACGGAUUUUUAAAUGUCAGUAAAGAUCUUUUAGACGAUUCCUUAAAGAUUUUUUAAAAUAUACAGCAGUGAAAUUUUCUUGAAAUGAUAAAAGGCUGGGCGUCAAAUGCUAAGUAAAAUAUUAUACUAUUGUUUUGGGCGCUAUGAAGGGAGAUGAAGUUAGAUGGAAUAGGAUGUUGGUUUUGAAGGAACUUCAGAGAUUAACUCUCUCCUUUUACAGGUGAGAAACGGAGGCCUGGGGAGUGUUCAUGAUUUGCCAGAAU
RNAcentral lists this long non-coding RNA (5650 nucleotides) under Sus scrofa (pig). RNAcentral describes it as "lncRNA (ENSSSCG00000054172.1)". Lineage: Eukaryota; Metazoa; Chordata; Mammalia; Artiodactyla; Suidae. The record is from RNAcentral.